GGGGCGCUCUGACCUUGUCAGAACUGCUUGAUUUUCCAGAAGCCCUUUGCAUUCGGUCCACAACAACCUAACGCAACAAGUAAUAAAAUACUCAGCUCAUCUUCAUCCUUUUAAUCGUUGGAUGACCAUCACUCCACCUUGUUUCAUAUUCAGGGAGCAACAAUAAGACGUGACGAUGGAACAGGAGCCAUCAUUGUGGCCCGGAUCAUGAGAGGAGGAGCAGCAGACAGAAGCGGGCUGAUUCAUUCUGGAGAUGAACUGAAGGAGGUCAACGGGAUCCCUGUGGAUGACAAGAAACCAGAGGAUAUCAUUCGUAUCCUGACCUCAGGCGUCGCAUCACUCGGGCUCCAACCAGACACCGGUCUUUUUCUGCUCCGAGUCUUUUCUGGC
Molecule: long non-coding RNA, 390 nt
Organism: Poeciliopsis prolifica (blackstripe livebearer)
Lineage: Eukaryota; Metazoa; Chordata; Actinopteri; Cyprinodontiformes; Poeciliidae
Exons: 4
Source: RefSeq, a predicted model, not a curated record